This 691-nucleotide ribosomal RNA is filed under the name uncultured Akkermansia sp. RNAcentral describes it as "bacterial SSU rRNA". It matches the Rfam family "Bacterial small subunit ribosomal RNA", at positions 31 to 743 of the family's 1533-position model. The record is from RNAcentral. Lineage: Bacteria; Pseudomonadati; Verrucomicrobiota; Verrucomicrobiia; Verrucomicrobiales; Akkermansiaceae.
GAACGCUGGCGGCGUGGAUAAGACAUGCAAGUCGAACGAGAGAAUUGCUAGCUUGCUAAUAAUUCUCUAGUGGCGCACGGGUGAGUAACACGUGAGUAACCUGCCCCCGAGAGUGGGAUAGCCCUGGGAAACUGGGAUUAAUACCGCAUAGAAUCGCAAGAUUAAAGCAGCAAUGCGCUUGGGGAUGGGCUCGCGGCCUAUUUGUUAGUUGGUGAGGUAACGGCUCACCAAGGCGAUGACGGGUAGCCGGUCUGAGAGGAUGUCCGGCCACACUGGAACUGAGACACGGUCCAGACACCUACGGGUGGCAGCAGUCGAGAAUCAUUCACAAUGGGGGAAACCCUGAUGGUGCGACGCCGCGUGGGGGAAUGAAGGUCUUCGGAUUGUAAACCCCUGUCAUGUGGGAGCAAAUUAAAAAGAUAGUACCACAAGAGGAAGAGACGGCUAACUCUGUGCCAGCAGCCGCGGUAAUACAGAGGUCUCAAGCGUUGUUCGGAAUCACCGGGCGUAAAGCGUGCGUAGGCUGUUUCGUAAGUCGUGUGUGAAAGGCGCGGGCCCAACCCGCGGACGGCACAUGAUACUGCGAGACUAGAGUAAUGGAGGGGGAGCCGGAAUUCUCGGUGUAGCAGUGAAAUGCGUAGAUAUCGAGAGGAACACUCGUGGCGAAGGCGGGUUCCUGGACAUAAACUGA